UUGACAGAAACGCGAGUGUUGCAUGUUCCUUUAUUAGACAGGGGGUGAACCGAGCUCCUGGAGAUUCAGAAUGUGAUACGGCAGCAGUUCAAAGGACAGAGCCAUUGAAGAAAGAAGUCUGACAGGAAAUGAGGACCAGAGGGACAAUUAUUGCACCUCUAAUGGUGGUUUUAAAUGUUUCCACUUCUCAGAGAGAGCUCUUACUCCCUGCCAUGGGAGUGACACCAUAUAAAGUGCAGGAGCAACACUGAGA
Molecule: non-coding RNA, 253 nt
Organism: Pimephales promelas (fathead minnow)
Lineage: Eukaryota; Metazoa; Chordata; Actinopteri; Cypriniformes; Leuciscidae
Source: RefSeq, a predicted model, not a curated record